UGUCAGCGAGGGUCGAUGAAAAAGCUUCCUGUCAGAGAGCUUUAACUCACAGUUGUAUUUACCCGUGGCACAGUACUGACACCCAUCUAUCUAGGGUUAUAGGUUGGACCCCAAUCUAUUCAGACAGGGGUAUGUUAGUUAGAUAAUUACUUUCAACAGUCUCAGUUUCAGUUCCAGUCUCAGAAUAAAACUCAGUUUGGUUCUUCAAAUUUAGGAAUGUCAAAUACAUUUACUCAGUAUAGUUCUACAAGAUCAAGACUAUCAGUACAAUCACUCAAUUAUCAGC
RNAcentral lists this long non-coding RNA (286 nucleotides) under Capsicum annuum. RNAcentral describes it as "long non-coding RNA (CANN_LNC020646)". The record is from RNAcentral. Lineage: Eukaryota; Viridiplantae; Streptophyta; Magnoliopsida; Solanales; Solanaceae.